Molecule: long non-coding RNA, 3234 nt
Organism: Eptatretus burgeri (inshore hagfish)
Lineage: Eukaryota; Metazoa; Chordata; Myxini; Myxiniformes; Myxinidae
Source: Ensembl
UGGAGACCUGCUGCGGAUAUGGGUACGGCCCAGAGCGAGAUUCAGUCAUCGCACCCGGAUUUUCAAGGGGCGGCGCGCUUUGCGUUACCGCAACGUUGGGCGGCCGCGACGAGCACAAAGUGCAAGCACGCGAACCAUCCCCCGACCUUUCUCCGCACUCUGGGUUCGGGGAUCUGAGCCCGAUUCCCUUUCGCUCGCACCGGGGCGGAUGGGAGCCCAUCGCCCAACAUCGUCCGCAAGGCCUUCGCCCGUCACUUAGGACCGACUCACCCAUGUCCAAGCGCUGUUCACAUGGAACCCUUCUCCACCUCGGCCUUCAAAGUCUCUCGUUUGAAUAUUUGCUACUACCACCAAGAUCUGCACCCGCGGCGGCUCCACCCGGGCCCACGCCCAAGGCUUCAGCGCCACCGCGGCGGCCCUCCUACUCGUCGCGGCGUAGCGCACGGACCACACUUCGUGUGCGCGCCGCGCGAAGGCGACGCGCCAAGCGCGAAGGAACGGUACAUCGCCGGCGACGGCCGGGUAUAGGCCCGACGCUCGAGCGCCAUCCAUUUUCAGGGCCAGUUGAUUCGGCAGGUGAGUCGUUACACACUCCUUAGCGGAUUCCGACUUCCAUGGCCACCGCCCUGCUGUCUCGACCAACCAACACCUUUUGCCAGGGCUCCGAUGAGCGUUCGCGUUCGGCGCCUUAACCCGGCGUUCGGUUCAUCCCGCAGCGCCAGUUCUGCUUACCAAAAGUGGCCCACUGGGCAGCUCGCAUUCUUCGCCCACGCACACGCCCGGCUCCGAAGCUGCGAGCCGGGCGUCUUACCCAUUCAAAGUUUGAGAAUAGGUUGAAGCCGUUUCGGCCCCAAUGCCUCUCGUCAGUCGCUUUACCGGAUAAAACUGCGCAUCCAGCGAGAGCUCCAGCUAUCCUGAGGGAAACUUCGGAGGGAACCAGCUACUAGAUGGUUCGAUUGGUCUUUCGCCCCUACGCCCGGGUCGUACGAUCGAUUUGCACGUCAGAACCGCUGCGGGCCUCCACCAGGGUUUCCCCUGGCUUCGCCCUGCCCGGGCGUAGCUCACCAUCUUUCGGGUACCAACAAGUACGCUGUGGCUCCGUCCGCCUCCGCCGGCACGCGCCGGACGGAGAGCGCAGGACGGGCCGGCGGUGUCGCGCGCCAGCACGAGGGGAGCCCUCACCGCUUGCCGGCGGUUCGGGCAGAAACGGCGCGAGACGAGACGCGAGAGGGUGCCCACUGAGAGAGGAGGCACGAAGCCACCGGACCCGAGGAGCACCGCGCUCGCACCAGCACCCGCACCGCCCGACCCGGCCGCCGAGCGGACGGGACGCCUUAACCCGACUGCGUGCGCACCGCACACUUUCAUUGUGCCUCCGGGGUUUCUUUCGAGCCCUUCGACUCGCGCACGUGUUAGACUCCUUGGUCCGUGUUUCAAGACGGGUCGGGUGGGAUUCCGACCCUCGCCGCAGACCCCGAGCGCCGGGGACCGCACCGCCAACGCGCGACACGACACGCGCAAGGAAAACGCACGCACGGCCGGGAAACCCGCACGGGGAGAGGACGGGCCCCGGAGGACCCGAACCCCCCCGAAGGGCCCCGACCGACGCACGAAGCCCUCGGCGCGCCGGCCACGCAGAUGCGGAAACGGCCCCUGCCGGAGGCGCACGACGACGCACUGAGAACAGUUCGCCGCCAGUCGACGGAGCGGCGGGCGGCGGAGGUGCCCCAGACGCGCGAGACACGGCCGCUUUCGCGAAACCACGCUCGCACGCGGCGCGGCAUCAGACUUUUCUUUCCGUCCAGUUUCCCUCGGUCCCGGGGCGAGCGAACGCUCUCGCCAGGCCCCCGCGACGGGCGCGGCCCCGGUGCCUUCACCCCCACGACGACGCGCGAAGGCGCGCGAAGCGGAGAGCACCGGUCGCAGGCCCCGCCACGGCGCCUCGACAAAUCGCAAAGCUCUCGGUCGACAAAAAAACCCAGGCGCUCCUGGCCGCCUCCGGAACCGGUCGCGGCGCACCGCACGCGGAGAAAGUGCACCGGGCGGCGGACGAGUCCGCCGAGGGGCGAGGCCCGCCCACACGUUGACCGGGAUCGUCGAAGCGCACCCGACCCACGAGGGGACGGUCGACGCGACGGCGUCCGGGCGCGGGACGGGUACCGCGACACCCACGACGGGCGACCGACGCCACGGCUGACUCCUCCGGGCGGACCGCGCGGAUCCCACCCGUUUACCUCGCAACGGUUUCACGAACUCUUGAACUCUCUCUUCAGAGUUCUUUUCAACUUUCCCUCACGGUACUUGUCGGCUAUCGGCCUCGUGCACGUAUUUAGCCUUGGAUGGAGUUUACCACCCACUUUAGGCUGCAUUCCCAAGCAACCCGACUCCAAAGAGACCCGACCCCGGCACGUCGGGGGCCAUCGCACCGGCCUGCCACCGUCCAUGGAGGAGGCCCCGAUCGAAAGGACUUGGACCCCCGAGCGAUACCGGGAGGUGCGAGCUCCUGUACGCCACAACUCCACACGCCCGUAGUGCGGGCGGGGAUUCGGCGCUGGGCUUUUCCCUGUUCACUCGCCGUUACUGAGGGAAUCCUCGUUAGUUUCUUUUCCUCCGCUUAGUAAUAUGCUUAAAUUAAGCGGGUCGUCACGUCUGAUCUGAGGUCGCAAACAUCGAAGUGCUCCCGGAGAGGCACGCCGCCGCGAGAGCGACGCGCUCUCCGUGUCUGGCCACCGGUCCCCGUCGCAACUCACACGGGAGACGCGGAGACUCGGAUCUGGCUCUCUGCGCUCUCUCUCCCUCUCUCUAUACGCCGUGGUCGCCACACCGACACGGAGCCGUGCACGCACGCGCGACGAUGUCGAAGCCGAACAAGUCGAAGUCGAAGUCGAAGCAGGCUCACUCACUCGAGGGCCACCGACGACCGCACGCACGCCACGGCCACGGCGGCGGCACGACCAAACAACGCAAAAACCACAACAGUGCUGCAUUUCGAAGAGCCGCGACCGUCGAGCGGCCUCGAACUCCCAUUCGCGGGAACCACGCAAAGCGCGUAGCGAGGCCCGGCCCACCGAAGCGCGAAGCGCGAAGGAAGGCCAGGACACCCGUGCUCCCGAUCGAUAAUCGAGCGACCCUCAGACAGGCGUGGCCCCGGGUGUGUAGCCCGGGGCCGCAAUGUGCGGGAUAGGGAUCGAGGGGGGGGGGGGGGGGGGGGGGGGGGGGGGGGGGGGGGGGGGG